AUAUCAAUAAGCGGAGGAAAAGAAACUAACAAGGAUUCCCCUAGUAACGGCGAGUGAAGCGGGAAGAGCUCAAAUUUGUAAUCUGGCACUUUCAGUGUCCGAGUUGUAAUCUCGAGAAGUGUUUUCCGCGCUAGACUGCAUACAAGUCUGUUGGAAUACAGCGUCAUAGUGGUGAGAACCCCGUACCUGAUGCAGAUGCCUAGUGCUUUGUGAUACACUUUCGAAGAGUCGAGUUGUUUGGGAAUGCAGCUCAAAUUGGGUGGUAAAUUCCAUCUAAAGCUAAAUAUUGGCGAGAGACCGAUAGCGAACAAGUACCGUGAGGGAAAGAUGAAAAGCACUUUGGAAAGAGAGUUAACAGUACGUGAAAUUGUUGGAAGGGAAACGCUUGAAGUCAGACUUGCUAUCUGGAAUUCAGCCGCAAGGCGUAUUUUUCAGUUCGCAGGCCAGCAUCAGUUUUUGGGGGUGGAAAAGGGUAAUUGGAAUGUGGCAACUCCGGUUGUGUUAUAGCCUUUUACUGGAUUCACCUUUGGGGACUGAGGAACGCAGUGUGCUUUUUGCAAGGCCCUCGGGCUUAUCACACUUAGGAUGCUGGUGGAAUGGCUUUAAACGA
Molecule: ribosomal RNA, 610 nt
Filed under: Meredithblackwellia eburnea
Lineage: Eukaryota; Fungi; Basidiomycota; Microbotryomycetes; Kriegeriales; Kriegeriaceae
Description: eukaryotic LSU rRNA
Rfam family: Eukaryotic large subunit ribosomal RNA
Source: RNAcentral